CCUACGGGAGGCAGCAGUGAGGAAUAUUGGUCAAUGGGCGCGAGCCUGAACCAGCCAAGCAGCGUGAAGGAUGACGGCCCUACGGGUUGUAAACUUCUUUUGUAUGGGAAUAAAGUGCAGCACGUGUACCGUUUUGAGUGUACCUUAUGAAUAAGGAUCGGCUAACUCCGUGCCAGCAGCCGCGGUAAUACGGAGGAUCCGAGCGUUAUCCGGAUUUAUUGGGUUUAAAGGGUGCGUAGGCGGGUUGUUAAGUCAGGUGGGAAAGUUUGGGGCUCAACCGCAAAAGUGCAGUUGAUCCUGGCGGCCUAGAGUAGGGGAGAGGUAGGCGGAAUUCGUGGUGUAGCGGUGAAAUGCAUAGAUAUCGCGAAGAACUCCGAUUGCGAAGGCAGCGUACUGGA
RNAcentral lists this ribosomal RNA (398 nucleotides) under uncultured bacterium. RNAcentral describes it as "partial 16S ribosomal RNA". It matches the Rfam family "Bacterial small subunit ribosomal RNA", at positions 338 to 733 of the family's 1533-position model. The record is from RNAcentral.